GAUCGGAGGAGAGUUCUUAUCCAAAAUCUCCCACUUAAAUUAAUACAUCAAGGAUCUGGAGGGAGUCCUUAUCCGAAUUCUCUUAACUAAAACCUGAAUUAAGACACCACAACUUUAAUACAUAAAGUAACCCUUAGACAAAAUUUGCCACCCAACACUUACUCACUAAGGGUCAUCUUAUGUACUCAUGUCCUUGAGCAGCCCUGAAUAGUGAAAUAUCAAAUAUUUCUUUUACCCUUAUGAAGGAAUAACAUUGCCACUCCAACCCCCAAAUUACCAAUUUCAAUUUAUAAAGAGCAUAAUGUUAAAUUUGCUUACCCUCGUUGAGGGACGAGACGAGGUGCCUAACACCUUCCCCGCCCG
This 363-nucleotide unclassified non-coding RNA is filed under the name Hevea brasiliensis (rubber tree). Lineage: Eukaryota; Viridiplantae; Streptophyta; Magnoliopsida; Malpighiales; Euphorbiaceae. The record is from RNAcentral.